RNAcentral lists this non-coding RNA (165 nucleotides) under Haptolina ericina. The record is from RNAcentral. Lineage: Eukaryota; Haptophyta; Prymnesiales; Prymnesiaceae.
GGAGGGCGGCAAGGAGGAUGAGUACGAGCUGGCCGACUUUGAAGGCGACGAGCCGCUGGUCAAGCUCAAGAAGAGCGGGAAGGACAAGAAGGGAGUGGGCAAGGAGAAGCGCGCCUCCGGGGCCGGGUUGAAAGCCAAAUCCAGCAAGGAACCCUCGCCAAAGAA